GCUUGCUUCCGAUAGACGUCGACCGGCGCACGGGUGAGUAACGCGUAUCCAACCUGCCCAUCACUUGGGGAUAACCUUGCGAAAGUAAGACUAAUACCCAAUGAUAUCUCUAGAAGACAUCUGAAAGAGAUUAAAGAUUUAUCGGUGAUGGAUGGGGAUGCGUCUGAUUAGCUUGUUGGCGGGGUAACGGCCCACCAAGGCGACGAUCAGUAGGGGUUCUGAGAGGAAGGUCCCCCACAUUGGAACUGAGACACGGCCCAAACUCCUACGGGAGGCAGCAGUGAGGAAUAUUGGUCAAUGGGCGAGAGCCUGAACCAGCCAAGUAGCGUGCAGGAUGACGGCCCUAUGGGUUGUAAACUGCUUUUAUAAGGGAAUAAAGUGAGCCUCGUGAGGCUUUUCGCAUGUACCUUAUGAAUAAGGACCGGCUAAUUCCGUGCCAGCAGCCGCGGUAAUACGGAAGGUCCGGGCGUUAUCCGGAUUUAUUGGGUUUAAAGGGAGCGUAGGCCGGAGAUUAAGCGUGUUGUGAAAUGUAAAUGCUCAACAUCUGCACUGCAGCGCGAACUGUUUUCCUUGAGUACGCACAAAGUGGGCGGAAUUCGUGGUGUAGCGGUGAAAUGCUUAGAUAUCACGAAGAACUCCGAUUGCGAAGGCAGCUCACUGGAGCGCAACUGACGCUGAAGCUCGAAAGUGCGGGUAUCGAACAGGAUUAGAUACCCUGGUAGUCCGCACGGUAAACGAUGGAUGCCCGCUGUUGGUCUGAAUAGGUCAGCGGCCAAGCGAAAGCAUUAAGCAUCCCACCUGGGGAGUACGCCGGCAACGGUGCAACUCAAAUGAAUUGACGG
RNAcentral lists this ribosomal RNA (842 nucleotides) under uncultured Bacteroidota bacterium. RNAcentral's name for it is "bacterial SSU rRNA". It matches the Rfam family "Bacterial small subunit ribosomal RNA", at positions 73 to 916 of the family's 1533-position model. The record is from RNAcentral. Lineage: Bacteria; Pseudomonadati; Bacteroidota.